CCACGCAGCCGGGGAGUUAGCGGUGCCCUGUACCUACAAUCCGCUCUAGUAGGGGUGAUAUCGAGCAGAGGAUAUUUAUUUGUAGAGCCGCCUUUUAUAAGUGGCGUUGACGCCUGGGUCUUGCGCAAUAAGAACCUACGAACCGUGUCAGGAUGGGAACAUAGCAGCACUAAGAAGGACCUCUUAUGUGCCGCAAGGUCGCCUGGGCUGAGUUAACUGUAAGAGUAACGUCUAUGAAUUGUAUUCGAAGUAAGAUGCGUGG
Molecule: signal recognition particle RNA, 262 nt
Filed under: Lachnospiraceae bacterium
Lineage: Bacteria; Bacillati; Bacillota; Clostridia; Lachnospirales; Lachnospiraceae
Description: signal recognition particle sRNA large type
Rfam family: Bacterial large signal recognition particle RNA
About the family: The signal recognition particle (SRP) is a universally conserved ribonucleoprotein involved in the co-translational targeting of proteins to membranes.
Source: RNAcentral